GGUGAGUAAUGCCUAGGAAUCUGCCUGGUAGUGGGGGACAACGUUUCGAAAGGAACGCUAAUACCGCAUACGUCCUACGGGAGAAAGCAGGGGACCUUCGGGCCUUGCGCUAUCAGAUGAGCCUAGGUCGGAUUAGCUAGUUGGUGAGGUAAUGGCUCACAAGGCGACGAUCCGUAACUGGUCUGAGAGGAUGAUCAGUCACACUGGAACUGAGACACGGUCCAG
RNAcentral lists this ribosomal RNA (225 nucleotides) under uncultured Pseudomonadales bacterium. Its description in RNAcentral is "partial 16S ribosomal RNA". It matches the Rfam family "Bacterial small subunit ribosomal RNA", at positions 105 to 334 of the family's 1533-position model. Lineage: Bacteria; Pseudomonadati; Pseudomonadota; Gammaproteobacteria; Pseudomonadales. The record is from RNAcentral.